Long non-coding RNA from Tripterygium wilfordii, 1173 nucleotides. RefSeq lists it as uncharacterized. The record is from RefSeq and is a predicted model, not a curated record. NCBI's taxonomy places the organism in Eukaryota, Viridiplantae, Streptophyta, Magnoliopsida, Celastrales, Celastraceae. The transcript has 5 exons.
GCACUUUAUUGUUAGGUAAAAGACAAAAGAGAAGUCCGAGUCUAAACUUUAAACAAAGUACAACCAGAGACGAAACGGUUUGCGGAGAGUCAGUACUUGAUACGUGUCAUUUCCUGAUUCGGUGCGAUCAUAUCGAAGUGGGAGUCUUGGCAAAUCAAAUCCACCUCUGUGUUUGUUUUCUAAUUCUGAUUUGGAAUCGACUCAAGAUCUGAUUCAUAGAAGCCGAAUUUUUCCUUUUAUCAAGAUGGGUCGGUGUGCAGCAUUUUGGAGUGCUUUAUCCAGGCUAAUUUGUUUCUCGAUUGAUAGUGGAGCUAAAGGAAAUAUGGGUAACACAAGCAGUGACUCAAAACCAAGUAGUCAGUCUGAUGCAAAAGAGCUUAAUGCGCCCUCUGAACAAAAAGUUAUAACAAUGAAAGAUUACAUUCUACAGAAAGCUAAGCCAUUUACCAACGAUUGGCCUAUGUACAAUGAUCCCACCAUCUGGGGCGUACUAACUGCUAUCACCGAAAGUGCAAUUAAUGGCAGAAAAUACCAGGGAUGCCAGGGACACUGUAUUAUCUUGAAGAUGGCUGAGCAUUGCAUUGGCCUAGUAUUGAAGGAAAUGUUCAAAUUUCCAUAGGAGAUGGUCAACGAAGACUAUGGAAUAUAUCUUAGCAGAGUUGAUGGUGAAGAAGCAAAGCAUCUCGGGAGCUAUUAUCCACCUGUCUUCUUGUGCGACACUAGCGCUUGUGACACAUAUGUCUAUUGGCAAAAGUUGACCAAAGGAGAACCUGUUCGAAUUUAUCACGGAGAUAUCAUAUCUUUUUUUUAAAGCUCCUGAUCAUGUUGAUGCAGUUGGAUAUGUAUAUCAAAUAGCAAGUAGGUCCGGUCCUUGGCAAGAAGGUCCCGUAGCAACAAGCCAUGACCAAUUUGAAACAUUGCUUAAGGAAUUUGCGGAGAUGAAGAAAUUGUUGUGUGUAAAAGAGCGUGCAGAGCUCAAGACUGAACUUAGGACCGAACUCAAGGCUGAACUAAGGACUGAAAUCAAGGAUGAAAUCAUGGUUGAACUCUCAAGCACAAACUCAGGUUAAAGCCUUGAUGGCCGUAUAUGUUAAUGCUAGAGCUAUUUUAUGCUUAAAUUAUAAGAUGCUGAAUGUGAUUGCUAAAUAAAGUUGCAUUUCAGAACAUCAUAGG